AUUGAACGCUGGCGGCAGGCCUAACACAUGCAAGUCGAACGGCAGCACGGGAGCAAUCCUGGUGGCGAGUGGCGAACGGGUGAGUAAUAUAUCGGAACGUGCCCGGUCGUGGGGGAUAACGUAGCGAAAGCUACGCUAAUACCGCAUACGAUCUACGGAUGAAAGCGGGGGAUCGCAAGACCUCGCGCGAUUGGAGCGGCCGAUAUCAGAUUAGGUAGUUGGUGAGGUAAAGGCUCACCAAGCCGACGAUCUGUAGCUGGUCUGAGAGGACGACCAGCCACACUGGGACUGAGACACGGCCCAGACUCCUACGGGAGGCAGCAGUGGGGAAUUUUGGACAAUGGGCGGCAAGCCUGAUCCAGCAAUGCCGCGUGCAGGAUGAAGGCCUCGG
Molecule: ribosomal RNA, 391 nt
Filed under: uncultured bacterium
Lineage: Bacteria
Description: bacterial SSU rRNA
Rfam family: Bacterial small subunit ribosomal RNA
Source: RNAcentral